AAGUCUAUACAUUCAGGGAUCACUUCAAUAGUUGGGUACUAGAGAAGUUUCUCUGACUGUGUAGAAUACCAGAAACCAUGAGGACAGUUGUAGCAUUCUCUCCAGAAUAUGAAUCUGGCUCUUGAUUUUGCUUUACUAUUGCUGCCACUGGCCAUUGGUAAUCUUUUCUGCUCUCCUUCUGUGGAGCUGGAGGGAGAGGAAGCAGUCUGAGUGGU
This is a small nucleolar RNA of Jaculus jaculus (lesser Egyptian jerboa), 215 nucleotides long. Its record names the gene U3. It matches the Rfam family "Small nucleolar RNA U3". Rfam says of the family: Small nucleolar RNAs (snoRNAs) are involved in the processing and modification of rRNA in the nucleolus. There are two main classes of snoRNAs: the box C/D class, and the box H/ACA class. U3 snoRNA is a member of the box C/D class. Lineage: Eukaryota; Metazoa; Chordata; Mammalia; Rodentia; Dipodidae. The record is from Ensembl.